Long non-coding RNA from Triticum aestivum (bread wheat), 449 nucleotides. RefSeq lists it as uncharacterized. NCBI's taxonomy places the organism in Eukaryota, Viridiplantae, Streptophyta, Magnoliopsida, Poales, Poaceae. The transcript has 2 exons. The record is from RefSeq and is a predicted model, not a curated record.
AAUAAAUGCAUACCUUUAUUUUGUAGGGAAUAAAUGCAUACCAUCGAUGGCAUGUGCUACUAGCUGGAUAUAUGCUGCCCUCUGUCCUCCAGUCUACUAGAUCACAAUCACAACACAAAACCAAGAGCGACCACCUGAGUUGGAUGACCAUGGCAAAGUAUGCACGUAUGUUUUUCAUCCUUAUGGUCCUUGUUCUACGCGCCAGCUUCCAAGCCCAAGGACAACUAGGACCGACGGAGCCAUACAACUUCACAUAGUACAUCCCAAGAAACCAUGUGUUCAAGCACCAAGCUGUUGCUAUCAGAUAAACUGCAAUGAUCCUGGAAAACCACUUGGUACUUGUAUUGAAUGUGCGAUCUCCUGUAAUUGUGAUAAUAGUUGCAAGUGAUCAAGUGUUUUUCCCUUUAAAAACUGGAGCAAUUUGAUAGAAUGACACACUUUUCCUUGUA